This 382-nucleotide unclassified non-coding RNA is filed under the name plant metagenome. RNAcentral's name for it is "partial contains small subunit ribosomal RNA and internal transcribed spacer 1". The record is from RNAcentral.
AAGUCGUAACAAGGUUUCCGUAGGUGAAGGUUUGCCUACCAAAGUUUACGUAGGCUAGUUCAUCAUUGAGCGACACUGUCAAACUGCGGGGAAGUUCUCUGGGCCCGAGGGCACCAUUGCAUAUUUGCAAUGCGCUCGGCUGCCGGAGCCAUCCGCAUCUCUGCGCUGCAGAGUUCAUCGACUGGAUGACAGUGGGCAGCACCGCGCUGUUUAAGGUACAGUCAGUUCGCGGGACGAAAGUUCGCGAGGAAAUGGAACCUGCGGAAGGAUCAUUAGUGAAUCGGCGCUCGCUCAGAGCUGCCAUCACAUCCACACCCCAGUGAAAUGGCACCCUUUUUUAACCCAAAGUGAUGCAUGUUCUAAAAAUAUAAGCGAAAAACAA